Non-coding RNA from Paramisgurnus dabryanus, 590 nucleotides. NCBI's taxonomy places the organism in Eukaryota, Metazoa, Chordata, Actinopteri, Cypriniformes, Cobitidae. The record is from RefSeq and is a predicted model, not a curated record.
CAGUUGCCAAUCGCCACUCAGGCCAAAAGCGCAGAAGAACAAAAAUGACCGGGAAAAUCUGACAGGACUGAGAAGAUGACAACAGCACAGCGGGGUUUUAGAAGCCCAUCAGAGUGAUUUUCUGAGUUCUUUCACAUAUGCUGUAUGGUCAGCGAAUGGAUGGAUUAUCCAGUCACGGUACAUAAUAAAAGACUUGACUGAGUUAGAAGAAGCUGAGCGACUCUUCAGAGUGAAGAUGUUAUGAUGCAGUUAUGUCAAAGCACUCGUUUCGGAUGGCCAGAUUGGAACAGAACCUGAAUGGGAAGAUGGCAGAGCUAAGACUGGCAAUUUCCAGGAAAAAUGUUUACUAAAAAUGAGUGUGUUUUUCCCCAGCGAGAGAGUUUGGGAAUGUUUUAAAUGUGUCUAGAAGUUUGAAAAUGUAAUACUGAGGGAAAAAAGUGAGCGCUUUGAAAAGGCUUUAAAAAGAAAAAAAAGUCUGAAGUUGAUGUGAAAUGAAGUUAAAGUUUUUACUUGAAAAGUUUGUACUGUACUUGUUUGUACUUGUCAAGUCUGUGCUGAAAAAAAUGCAGUAAAGGUUGUAUUUGAAAAGA